RNAcentral lists this long non-coding RNA (578 nucleotides) under Hordeum vulgare. Its description in RNAcentral is "long non-coding RNA (HVUL_LNC005433)". Lineage: Eukaryota; Viridiplantae; Streptophyta; Magnoliopsida; Poales; Poaceae. The record is from RNAcentral.
CGCGGCGCUGCUGGAGCGGGCGGCGAACACGUCGCCGGGCGUCGUCGGGACUAGCCAGGGGGCGCCUCUGGCCGAUGACAGAAGAGAGAGAGCACCAGCCGGGGACGUCGGCAGGCCGCCGUACGGCACGAAACCGUGCGCCAACGACGCCAUCCCUGCAACAAAUUCAAGCAGAGCUUUCGCCGCGUUAGUUCGUUGCACGCAAACUGUAUGUCGUCCUUCCUUGCUAGUGUAUGCAGAUCAGGCUACGACGCGCAUGUUGUCCAAUUUGUGUUUGAGCUGCAAAAUCAAAAGGAUUCGGUAUGUUUGUCCUCGAUCGUCAUCUGCGCUGGAAACUCGAGUAUGUUACCUAGACGGCUACCAGGUUGGUGAGCACCAGUAGACGAUUGAUGAGUUGAUGACUGCAGCUUGUAUGCACAAACAUCACAAAAAUCACAGUGAAACACCAUCAGUACGUACGCGUAAUAAAGAUUUGGUCACUGUUUCGCCAACCUGACGCGAGAUGAUUCUCCUCUCAGUCAAUUAUCAAGCUUUGUAGGAGUAUCAUAGUUACUGUUUGAAAGAACACGCUGAUGCUU